This 253-nucleotide ribosomal RNA is filed under the name uncultured bacterium. RNAcentral's name for it is "partial 16S ribosomal RNA". It matches the Rfam family "Bacterial small subunit ribosomal RNA", at positions 524 to 776 of the family's 1533-position model. The record is from RNAcentral.
UACAGAGGUCUCAAGCGUUGUUCGGAUUCAUUGGGCGUAAAGGGCGCGUAGGCGGCCUUGCAAGUGGCGGGUGAAAUCCCUCGGCUUAACCGAGGAACUGCCUGCCAGACUGCAAGGCUCGAGACCGGGAGAGGUGAGUGGAAUUCCCAGUGUAGCGGUGAAAUGUGUAGAUAUUGGGAGGAACACCAGUGGCGAAGGCGGCUCACUGGACCGGAACUGACGCUGAGGCGCGAAAGCGUGGGGAGCAAACAGG